This 205-nucleotide ribosomal RNA is filed under the name uncultured bacterium. RNAcentral's name for it is "partial 16S ribosomal RNA". It matches the Rfam family "Bacterial small subunit ribosomal RNA", at positions 337 to 554 of the family's 1533-position model. The record is from RNAcentral.
UCCUACGGGAGGCAGCAGUGGGGAAUUUUGGACAAUGGGCGCAAGCCUGAUGCAGCAACGCCGCGUGCGGGAUGACGGCCUUCGGGUUGUAAACCGCUUUCAGCAGGGACGAAGUGAAAAUGACGGUACCUGCAGAAGAAGCACCGGCUAACUUCGUGCCAGCAGCCGCGGUAAUACGUAGGGUGCGAGCGUCGUCCGGAAUUAU